This 73-nucleotide transfer RNA is filed under the name uncultured archaeon. RNAcentral describes it as "tRNA-Ala(cgc)". It matches the Rfam family "tRNA". Rfam says of the family: Transfer RNA (tRNA) molecules are approximately 80 nucleotides in length. Their secondary structure includes four short double-helical elements and three loops (D, anti-codon, and T loops). The record is from RNAcentral.
GGGCUGGUAGCUCAGCAGUAGAGCGCUACAUUCGCAAUGUAGAGGUCCCGGGUUCGAAUCCCGGCCAGUCCAC